Molecule: ribosomal RNA, 309 nt
Filed under: Triticum aestivum (bread wheat)
Lineage: Eukaryota; Viridiplantae; Streptophyta; Magnoliopsida; Poales; Poaceae
Description: partial small subunit ribosomal RNA
Source: RNAcentral
AUGACGCUCAUCAGCUGGAACUGUCGAGGGAUUGGGCAACCUCAUACAGUUUGGGAGCUCGUGGGCCUAGUGCACACGCAUAAGCCUAAGUUAGUUUUUCUCUCUGAAACUUGGAAAAGCGAUGAUUACGUGAAUAAACUGCGAUGGAGACUAGGUCUCCGGCAUUGUAUUAUGCAACCCGGGAUUGGCAAGAGUGCCGGUAUUGCACUGUUCUAUGAUGAGGAAGUUAAAUGGCGAGGUACUUUUGUUUAUGGUGAACCAAGAUCACAUGAAAGGCACCACAUGUGGGAGCUUCUUCGAAGGAUUAGA